UCCUCUUAAGUGGUCGGUGGUCGAGCAAUUUCUGUCAGCUCAGCUGCAAAAUGGACGAACGCGCGUCAGUGUACGAACGUGCUUUGGUUUUGUAUGACGAGUGAUGGAUGAGAGGGUAUCGCAAAGAUCCUUUGUUGAUUAAUGCAGGUCUGAUCACAUAGGAGAGCUGCUGGGACUUGGUGAUUUGUAAAAUAUGAACCAAUGGUGACUUAAUGCAUCCACUUGUACAUCAAUCUUGAGCU
Molecule: long non-coding RNA, 242 nt
Filed under: Triticum aestivum (bread wheat)
Lineage: Eukaryota; Viridiplantae; Streptophyta; Magnoliopsida; Poales; Poaceae
Description: long non-coding RNA (TAES_LNC022255)
Source: RNAcentral